Molecule: ribosomal RNA, 415 nt
Filed under: Salmonella enterica
Lineage: Bacteria; Pseudomonadati; Pseudomonadota; Gammaproteobacteria; Enterobacterales; Enterobacteriaceae
Also listed under: 1 other name
Description: bacterial SSU rRNA
Rfam family: Bacterial small subunit ribosomal RNA
Source: RNAcentral
GCGUAGAGAUCUGGAGGAAUACCGGUGGCGAAGGCGGCCCCCUGGACAAAGACUGACGCUCAGGUGCGAAAGCGUGGGGAGCAAACAGGAUUAGAUACCCUGGUAGUCCACGCCGUAAACGAUGUCUACUUGGAGGUUGUGCCCUUGAGGCGUGGCUUCCGGAGCUAACGCGUUAAGUAGACCGCCUGGGGAGUACGGCCGCAAGGUUAAAACUCAAAUGAAUUGACGGGGGCCCGCACAAGCGGUGGAGCAUGUGGUUUAAUUCGAUGCAACGCGAAGAACCUUACCUGGUCUUGACAUCCACAGAACUUUCCAGAGAUGGAUUGGUGCCUUCGGGAACUGUGAGACAGGUGCUGCAUGGCUGUCGUCAGCUCGUGUUGUGAAAUGUUGGGUUAAGUCCCGCAACGAGCGCAAC